CAAUGUUCCAACAUCUAGUGGAAAGCCUUCCCAGAAGAGUGGAGGCUGUUAUAGCAGCAAUGUUCCAACAUCUAGUGGAAAGCCUUCCCAGAAGAGUGGAGGCUGUUAUAGCAGCAAUGUUCCAACAUCUAGUGGAAAGCCUUCCCAGAAGAGCGGAGGCUGUUAUAGCAGCAAUGUUCCUACAUCUAGUGGAAAGCCUUCCCAGAAGAGUGGAGGCUGUUAUAGCAGCAAUGUUCCUACAUCUAGUGGAAAGCCUUCCCAGAAGAGUGGAGGCUGUUAUAGCAGCAAUGUUCCAACAUCUAGUGGAAAGCCUUCCCAGAAGAGUGGAGGCUGUUAUAGCAGCAAUGUUCCUACAUCUAGUGGAAAGCCUUCCCAGAAGAGUGGAGGCUGUUAUAGCAGCAAUGUUCCUACAUCUAGUGGAAAGCCUUCCCAGAAGAGUGGAGGCUGUUAUAGCAGCAAAGGGGGGCGACCAACUCCAUAUUAAUGACCAUGAUUUUGGAAUGAGAUGUUGGAUACGUAUAUAUAUAUAUUCUCAUAUUCACUGCUUUUUAUUUAUGAUUAUCCCAGUGGGUGUGUGUCUGUGAUUGGUUGUCGUUCCAGGUGGGUGUGUUGGUGAUUGGUUGUCGUUCAAGGUGGGUGUGUCUGUGAUUGGUUGUCGUUCAAGGUGUGUGUUGGUGAUUGGUUGUCGUUCAAGGUGGGUGUGUUGGUGAUUGGUUGUCGUUCAAGGUGUGUGUCUGUGAUUGGUUGUCGUUCAAUGUGGGUGUGUUGGUGAUUGGUUGUCGUUCAAUGUGUGUGUCUGUGAUUGGUUGUCGUUCAAUGUGUGUGUCUGUGAUUGGUUGUCGUUCAAUGUGUGUGUCUGUGAUUGGUUGUCGUUCAAUGUGUGUGUCUGUGAUUGGUUCUGUGUUUUCUCCAGCGUCUGUUCCCUCAGUGAGUGUGUCAGGGUCAGGGACCGAGCACAGUGACAGCAACGGUCAUGGAGCCCCCAACCUUGACCCCAGCUCUAACCCCAGCACAGCACUGCUGCCCCCUGCUGACGAGAGGCUGUUUGAAGAGGUGAUAGUUCUCCCUGCAGACUCCAGACUUCCUCCUCCUGGUGAUGAAGAGGAGGAAGAAGAGCAGCUUGUCAUUGCGUUCCAGGAGAACGGUAUCGUCAUGCCUCUGAUUGGAGGAGUGGUCGACACCCCGAUACAACACACAGCAGAUGUUGUCUGAUGACUGGAAAAGACAUGGUGGAGGGGGAGAUGGUGGAGGACACAUGGUGGAGGACACGUGGUGGAGGACACAUGGUGGAGGACACAUGGUGGAGGACACGUGGUGGAGGACACAUGGUGGAGGACACAUGGUGGAGGACACAUGGUGGAGG
Molecule: long non-coding RNA, 1363 nt
Organism: Oncorhynchus tshawytscha (Chinook salmon)
Lineage: Eukaryota; Metazoa; Chordata; Actinopteri; Salmoniformes; Salmonidae
Source: Ensembl